GAAAUGCGAUAAGUAAUGUGAAUUGCAGAAUUCAGUGAAUCAUCGAAUCUUUGAGCGCACAUUGCGCCCGCCAGUAUUCUGGCGGGCAUGCCUGUCCGAGCGUCAUUUCAACCAUCAAGCCCCCGGGCUUGUGUUGGGGACCUGCGGCUGCCCGCAGGCCCUGAAAACCAGUGGCGGGCUCGCUGUCACACCGAGCGUAGUAGCAAUCACCUCGCUCAGGGCGUGCUGCGGGUUCCGGCCGUUAAACAGCCUUACAAAACCCAAGGUUGACCUCGGAUCAGGUAGGAAGACCCGCUGAACUUAAGC
This 306-nucleotide unclassified non-coding RNA is filed under the name plant metagenome. RNAcentral describes it as "partial contains 5.8S ribosomal RNA, internal transcribed spacer 2, and large subunit ribosomal RNA". The stretch from base 1 to 105 matches the Rfam family "5.8S ribosomal RNA", at positions 50 to 154 of the family's 154-position model. The record is from RNAcentral.